RNAcentral lists this ribosomal RNA (351 nucleotides) under Triticum aestivum (bread wheat). Its description in RNAcentral is "partial small subunit ribosomal RNA". The record is from RNAcentral. Lineage: Eukaryota; Viridiplantae; Streptophyta; Magnoliopsida; Poales; Poaceae.
AUGGGAGCUGAAGGUGUAUUUCCUAAGUCAAACCUUUACAAGAGUACAGCGCCUGACCAAUUUAUGGAGGUAGAGGAAGAGCUUAAUAUGCUGAGCCUUGAAUCUUUGGAAAACAAUGUUGCUGGACUCCACAAAGUAAACAAUGUUGGGAAGAGCUUAAUAACAAAGCUACAUAUUUGCUCUGGUAAUUGCUUCCUUUCUUCUCAGAAGACCAAAGCAUGCAGCGGGUUUUUGGAUAGGACACUACUUCCAUGGAAGUGGAGUGGAGUAUAUAUACAGUGCUUCCUUCUCCAGCCCACUGCCUGUCCACAAAGCUAUAUGGAGAGAGACACGGUUGCACUGCUGGGCUAG